This 617-nucleotide ribosomal RNA is filed under the name Lactococcus garvieae. RNAcentral describes it as "bacterial SSU rRNA". It matches the Rfam family "Bacterial small subunit ribosomal RNA", at positions 75 to 677 of the family's 1533-position model. Lineage: Bacteria; Bacillati; Bacillota; Bacilli; Lactobacillales; Streptococcaceae. The record is from RNAcentral.
AUAGCUUGCUAUUUUUAUGAAGAGCGGCGAACGGGUGAGUAACGCGUGGGAAAUCUGCCGAGUAGCGGGGGACAACGUUUGGAAACGAACGCUAAUACCGCAUAACAAUGAGAAUCGCAUGAUUCUUAUUUAAAAGAAGCAAUUGCUUCACUACUUGAUGAUCCCGCGUUGUAUUAGCUAGUUGGUAGUGUAAAGGACUACCAAGGCGAUGAUACAUAGCCGACCUGAGAGGGUGAUCGGCCACACUGGGACUGAGACACGGCCCAGACUCCUACGGGAGGCAGCAGUAGGGAAUCUUCGGCAAUGGGGGCAACCCUGACCGAGCAACGCCGCGUGAGUGAAGAAGGUUUUCGGAUCGUAAAACUCUGUUGUUAGAGAAGAACGUUAAGUAGAGUGGAAAAUUACUUAAGUGACGGUAUCUAACCAGAAAGGGACGGCUAACUACGUGCCAGCAGCCGCGGUAAUACGUAGGUCCCAAGCGUUGUCCGGAUUUAUUGGGCGUAAAGCGAGCGCAGGUGGUUUCUUAAGUCUGAUGUAAAAGGCAGUGGCUCAACCAUUGUGUGCAUUGGAAACUGGGAGACUUGAGUGCAGGAGAGGAGAGUGGAAUUCCAUGGGUA